Molecule: non-coding RNA, 113 nt
Organism: Acanthosepion pharaonis
Lineage: Eukaryota; Metazoa; Mollusca; Cephalopoda; Sepiida; Sepiidae
Source: the annotation of a GenBank genome assembly
UAUGGCCAUAUCACAUUGAAACACCCGUUCCCGUAUGAUCACUAAAGUUAAGCAACGUAGAGUCUUGUCUGUACCUAGAUGGGUGACUGCUUGGGAAUAGGGGGUGCUGUAAG